RNAcentral lists this long non-coding RNA (211 nucleotides) under Musa acuminata (dwarf banana). Its description in RNAcentral is "long non-coding RNA (MACU_LNC008621)". The record is from RNAcentral. Lineage: Eukaryota; Viridiplantae; Streptophyta; Magnoliopsida; Zingiberales; Musaceae.
CUUACAACUCCUACUUCUUCUCUAAGAAAAAACCUCCUACAUGAAUGUCCCUCUCAAUUAGGACUCUCCUAACUAGAGUCCUAACAGAAUGUCCCUCUCAAUUAGGACUCUCCUAGCUAGAGUCCUAACAGAAUGUCCCUCUCAAUUAGGACUCUCCUAGCUAAAGUCCUAACAGUUUUACAUGAAUGUCCCUCUCAAUUAGGACUCUCCU